Molecule: long non-coding RNA, 837 nt
Organism: Zophobas morio
Lineage: Eukaryota; Metazoa; Arthropoda; Insecta; Coleoptera; Tenebrionidae
Exons: 2
Source: RefSeq, a predicted model, not a curated record
UUGUGCGUUAAUUGACUUGUCUUGUUUUCAUUUUUGCUGUCUUGCCCCUUUGUUAGAACUUUAAUAAGUGUCUCAAAAAACAGUUUUUAUCAAAAUUACGGAUCAUUGUGGAAUAAUCUCAGUUCUUUGGCGCAAUCAUCAUGCCUAUUACCGUAAUGGGGUGUUAAAUGAGGAUGGGGAUGGAGUGUACUCUGUGGAGGCGUCUAAAAACGAGUAUCUAGUGAAAUGUUCUGUUGUCAUUGAUGAAGAAUCUUUGAAGACGCUAUAUGGCGAAUUAUGGCCAGAUUUAACGACACUGGUAGCAUUUCUAAGUGAAAACCGACGGGGAGACCUCAAGUUAGUGAAGACGUUGUUGAAGAUUUAAGGAUGAGAAUGGAACAAAGUCCGAAUAAAGCUUUGUCAAAAAUCUUUACUGUCCGGAGUACCAUACAGCCCAUGUCAGAAAAUCGUAAAAGAGAAGUUACAUAUGCAUCCAUACAAGAUUUUGUUGGUUCAGGAGCUGCAACCAGCUGAUUUUCCUUGGCGCGUUGGGUAUUGUAGUUGGUUUCAAGCUGAUAUGGACGAUAACGGGAUUCUCGAUUUGUCGUUCUUUUCUGAUGAAGCCUGGUUUCAUCUGUUAGGCUAUUAUGUCAACUGACAGAACUUCAGAAUUUGGUGUAUAGAAAAUACUCACGCUUUUGAAGAAACACCAUCACACGCAAUGAAGGUUGGUGUGUGGUUAGCAGACGACGAUUCAUAGGCCUGAUACUUUUUCAAGUAAAUGAAUGUGAUCAAUAAACAAAAUUAGAUGUAGAAAGUGUAUGUAGGUACUGCAAUAAAGUUUUUUAUUUUCAGUAA